RNAcentral lists this ribosomal RNA (253 nucleotides) under uncultured bacterium. RNAcentral describes it as "partial 16S ribosomal RNA". It matches the Rfam family "Bacterial small subunit ribosomal RNA", at positions 524 to 776 of the family's 1533-position model. The record is from RNAcentral.
UACGUAGGGUGCGAGCGUUAAUCGGAAUUACUGGGCGUAAAGCGUGCGCAGGCGGUUCGUUGUGUCGGCGGUGAAAGCCCCGGGCUUAACCUGGGAAUGGCCGUUGAAACUGGCGAACUGGAGUGUGGCAGAGGGGGGUGGAAUUCCGCGUGUAGCAGUGAAAUGCGUAGAUAUCUGGAGGAACAUCAGUGGCGAAGGCGGCUUCCUGGUCCAACACUGACACUGAGGUGCGAAAGCGUGGGGAGCAAACAGG